Molecule: long non-coding RNA, 386 nt
Filed under: Mytilus galloprovincialis (Mediterranean mussel)
Lineage: Eukaryota; Metazoa; Mollusca; Bivalvia; Mytilida; Mytilidae
Source: RNAcentral
GGAGCCUGUAAAUCGGUGUUUAUGUGUUACACAUUCGUUUUUCGUUGUUUUUUUUUAAAACAUAAAUAAGGUCAUUAGUUUUCUCGUUUGAAUUGUUUCACAUCUGUCAUUUCAGGGCCUUUUAUAGCUGAUUAUGCGGUAUUGGUUUUGCUCAUUAUUGAUGGCCGUAAAGUGAACUGUAGUUGUUAAUUUCUGUGUCGAUUUGGUCUCUUGUGGAGAAUUGUCUCAUUGGCAAUCAUACCACAUCUUUUUUAUAUGUAUUUGCUGACUAUUUGUAUGGUUCUAUUUAUAUUACUUUGUGGUGGAUCGUCAGUAUCAUUAGUAAAAAUAUUUAUUAAAAUGUCGAAUUGUUCCGUUCCUCAGAUUAGAAUACAUUUAUUGGUUUU